This 244-nucleotide ribosomal RNA is filed under the name uncultured bacterium. Its description in RNAcentral is "partial 16S ribosomal RNA". It matches the Rfam family "Bacterial small subunit ribosomal RNA", at positions 524 to 767 of the family's 1533-position model. The record is from RNAcentral.
UACGUAGGGUGCAAGCGUUAAUCGGAAUUACUGGGCGUAAAGCGUACGCAGGCGGUUUUGUAAGUCAGAUGUGAAAUCCCCGGGCUCAACCUGGGAACUGCAUUUGAGACUGCAAGGCUAGAGUGUGGCAGAGGGGGGUGGAAUUCCACGUGUAGCAGUGAAAUGCGUAGAGAUGUGGAGGAACACCGAUGGCGAAGGCAACCCCUGGGCCGAAUACUGACGCUCAUGCACGAAAGCGUGGGGA